This is a long non-coding RNA of Cairina moschata (Muscovy duck), 1872 nucleotides long. The record is from Ensembl. NCBI's taxonomy places the organism in Eukaryota, Metazoa, Chordata, Aves, Anseriformes, Anatidae.
CCAGUACUUUUAAGUGUUCCAUUUAGAAACAUUAAAAUUAUGUAAGCCCUCUGUUCCUCACAUAGUUUUCCAGUUACCCUUCUUUCUUCCUUGUAACAAGAAAGAGUAAAGUGAAGAGCUGAAUAACCUGCCUCAGUAAACCACCCUGUCAAUAACUGCAAAAUACAGAGGUCUUGUAUAUCAGAAGACAUAUUGACAAGUCUCAUCCAACUUCUUAAUUGAAUUUCCUGAAAUAAACAGUCCUAAAAUAACUGAAAUUCCUAAAAAUAAACAUUGAACGUUUUCAGUCACAUCACAGGAUCUCUCUCUACUUACUAGAUGAUAAUCACCUUUAAAAUAACACCAGUUUGUAAUUUUUAAGUCACAUUUAUACAGCAAGCGCAAAAUAUUCUGCCUUUACAUACACACAUGGCUUACUGAGACUCUGAUGCUCUUUGUAGGAACUCCCCUCUGGGUCCCCUAUAGCUAUGGCACAAGAAGCAGCACUCAACUCAAAGGCAGAUAGCUGUAACCAUCAGCUUCGUCUUUGUAUUGCAGACAAAUCACAGUAAAACCCAAAGGAUCUACAGGAACACGUUUCCAAAUUUCACAGUGAAAACGACACCAAAAUACCAUCAAGGAUGAGAAUAGAGACAGUAAAGCUAAUCUUAAGUUAUUUCCAACACUUUUGGACAAAAUAAGAGCUGUAUCCUACCAACAGGGAGCAGAAGGACAGGGAAGGCAGUAUCAGCAAGCAGUGUCAUUUUUCCUCCCUUUCAGCAUAGCUUUUUUAUUUUUUUUUUUUUUUUUAAUACUUCUUCUGAGUGCUACUUUCAAUUUUUCACCUUUCCUUGCAACCAGUGAAGGGAAGAACGCUCUGUGUGCUGCUUCAUCUAGCACCGACCAACACAAGGGGAUAUCCACCUGGAAGUCUACACCUUUCGUUUCAAAGGUGAGAGAAAGGAACUUCAUCAGGAAAGUUGUGCGAAGGUAUUUCAGGUUUGGACACCUCUAACAGCUGAUUUCUUCAUUCCACUUCCCCAGCUGGAAUGUCACUGAUGAGCGAGCAGAUGCUGGCGAGACAGUGGCACCUCCCCAAAAUCCAUAGUAACUUCAUAACAUGUGACAACCACAUCUGCUCUGCCCAGAGCCAGUUUUCCACAAAGGAUGCCAACACUUUACAUUUCUCUGAUGAUUCCCUGCUCCUUCAAACUCAAUUGUUCCACAGAAUAUACUUAUGAUUACUUAGCACUUUAGCACCAUUUCAUACACUACUUCAAAUAACAGGAAACUUUAGUUUCUUAUGGUGUUUUCUAGCUUAUAAAUAAAUAAUUCAAAAUUAUAAGCUGGCACAUUUGAGCAGCUAGCCCUGCAAAACACAAUGUGAUCACACCAGUUCAAAUUUACAAGAACUUGAAACUUCAUGGAUAAAUUUUUUUAAAAAGGGACAAGCGACAAGAAGAACAGCAUUUCGCAUUUAAAACAAAAUUAAAACAUAAAAAAAUUAACAACAACAAAAUCCUCUUAGGGUAACUACAACUCUCCAAAUGGCUUUGUUCUAGGAUCGCACCGUACAUCAAGCCAGGAUGUGCCCAGAAAGUGAGCCAUGGACACGUUGAUGCGUUUCUAGUACAUUUUCCAGUGAACUUGCUAUGAGUGGGCAAAACCCAUCACUGACAAUGUUGUUAAAUAAAAUAGAUAAAAUCAGAUAAAAUCUGAAACAAUGUUUUAAUACUAUUUAAAAUUUAAUUUUAUUAUUCAAUUUAAUGUUAGUAAUAUUUUUAAAACUCUGGUGUUAACAAAGCCUUGGAGAUGGUUUCAAAUACUUACUAUCAAGGUUUAAGAACACCACAGCAUGGACUGUUAGGCUGGCAAAUUACCUCUACAUCUAAA